Molecule: ribosomal RNA, 496 nt
Filed under: uncultured bacterium
Lineage: Bacteria
Description: partial 16S ribosomal RNA
Rfam family: Bacterial small subunit ribosomal RNA
Source: RNAcentral
GAUGAACGCUGGCGGCGUGCCUAAUACAUGCAAGUAGAACGCUGACGGAAGGAGCUUGCUCUUUCCGGAUGAGUUGCGAACGGGUGAGUCAUGCGUAGGUAACCUGCCUGGUAGCGGGGGAUAACUAAUGGAAACGUUAGCUAAUACAGCAUAACAGUAGAUGUUGCAUGAUAUCUACUUAAAAGGUGCAAUUGCACCACUAACAGCUGGACCUGCGUUGUAUUAGCUAGUUGGUGAGGUAACGGCUCACCAAGGCGACGAUACAUAGCAGACCUGAGAGGGUGAUCAGCCACACUGGGACUGAGACACGGCCCAGACUCCUACGGGAGGCAGCAGUAGGGAAUUUUCGGCAAUGGACGGAAGUCUGACCGAGCAACGCCGCGUGAGUGAAGAAGGUUUUCGGAUCGUAAAGCUCUGUUGUAAGGGAAGAACGAGUGUGAGAGUGGAAAGUGCACACUGGGACGGUAUCUUACCAGAAAGAGACGGCUAACUACUU